RNAcentral lists this ribosomal RNA (403 nucleotides) under uncultured bacterium. RNAcentral describes it as "bacterial SSU rRNA". It matches the Rfam family "Bacterial small subunit ribosomal RNA", at positions 355 to 774 of the family's 1533-position model. The record is from RNAcentral.
UGGGGAAUAUUGCACAAUGGGCGAAAGCCUGAUGCAGCAACGCCGCGUGAGCGAUGAAGGCCUUUGGGUCGUAAAGCUCUGUCCUAGGGGAAGAAUAAAUGACGGUACCCUUGGAGGAAGCCCCGGCUAACUACGUGCCAGCAGCCGCGGUAAUACGUAGGGGGCAAGCGUUAUCCGGAAUUAUUGGGCGUAAAGAGUGCGUAGGUGGUUUUGUAAGCGCGGGGUGAAAGGCAAUAGCUCAACUAUUGUAAGCCCUGCGAACUGUGAGACUUGAGUGCAGGAGAGGAAAGCGGAAUUCCUAGUGUAGCGGUGAAAUGCGUAGAUAUUAGGAGGGACACCAGUGGCGAAGGCGGCUUUCUGGACUGUAACUGACACUGAGGCACGAAAGCGUGGGGAGCAAACA